GACUACAUUAUCUUCUCCAACCCGAUACCAAGCCCUAACACCAUUCUACCUUAUUAUCAGUCAUUCACUCCGGCUAACGGCGAUGUCUCACUUCGGAAGAACAGGCCCUCCGGACAUCAAAGAUACCUUCUCUCUGCUCGUUCUCAACGUUACUUUCCGUACCACUGCUGAUGACUUGUUUCCUCUUUUCGAUAAGUAUGGAAAAGUUGUCGAUGUCUUUAUCCCUAGAGACCGAAGGACUGGAGAUUCUAGAGGUUUUGCAUUUGUGCGCUACAAGUAUCAGGAUGAGGCUCAAAAGGCAGUGGAAAAGCUCGAUGGAAGAGUUGUAGAUGGUCGAGAAAUAAUGGUUCGAUUUGCAAAGUACGGCCCAAAUGCCGAGAGAAUUGACAAAGGUAGAAUUUUGGAGCCUGUAAAUAGGACAGGAGGAAGGUCAAGAAGCCGUAGUCCUAGAUCAAGGCAUCGAGAUCAUUAUAGGGACAAGGAUUCUAAAAGGAGAAGCCGAAGUAGAAGUGGGGGGAGGUAUGACCGUGAUCGGUACCGUGGAAGAGACAAAGAUUACCGUCAGCGGAGCAGAAGCCGCAGCCCGGAUUAUCACAAAGCUCGUGGAAGGGGUAAAUAUGAUGAAGAGAGGCGCAGCCUAAGUCGGUCUCAUGGAAGUGCCUCUCCUGUUCGUCGUAGCCCCAGUCCUCGGAGGAGCCCUUCUCCACGCAGAACAACCCCUUCUAGGGAUGCUAGUCCAGAUGGUCGUAAUCGCAAGGAGCGGUCUCCAACUCCCAAGAGUGUCUCACCGCGUGGUAGACGUGCUGGUUCUCGCAGCCCCUUGCCAUGUUCUGAUGCUGAUGAUUAAGUAGCAAAGGAGGAGGCCACAAUUGUCAUCUGGCUUUGGUCAAUGCUGCGUAUCAAGAGGACAUUCCCAAAUGAAGGACCUUUCAUCUAUUUUCUGCUUGCUAGAACUGAUUGGCCUGACUUAUUUAUAAGCUGGGUCCGUGAAAAGUCAAUGUGGCUGAAUAGCAAGAUGAUGCAGUAGCUGUUGAUGCUGUUUUAUUUGCUGUUGGUUGUAAUUUUGUUGCUGGUCACAAACUACUGUUUCUUAGCUCAAUGGCAAGAAGAUGCAGCAGCUGUCGAUGCUGUUUUAACUUGGCUGUUUAUAAUUUGUUGCUGGUGAUAUACUACUGUUUGUUGGUUAAAUGAUGGCUAUGGAUUUGACUAAGCUUGAUGAGGAUGUUGGAAAAGGUAUCAAGAUGUUGCUUAGGGAGCUUUCGGAUUUUCCUGUUGCCCGAUACUUAGCAGGGUCGGCUCUUUAUGUUUGGUUAAUGAGGCUGUGAUGAGAGUUCAAAAGCAAAGUGGGUGAUGGGCCUGUUAUUUUUCUUUUACCUUACCUGUUGCAAUUGGCAAACUUCCAUGUUGCAGCAGAAAGAAUAAUCCUUCAAUUUCAUUCCAUAUUGACGAACCAAUGGACAUUCCUGCCAAGACCACUGUCAGCUUUGUGGACGAUGGAGAGUGGACAUUUUGUUAUUCUUUCUUCAAUCUUUUUAAAAUAAAAUUGUGAUCCAACGGCAUUUACUAGAACUCGCCAAUGGAACAAUUGUCCAUAUAAAAUGUACAAAUGAUGUUUGUUAUAAACCAAUAGAUAUAUGAUAUAUGUUUGCACAUAUUUUAUCACGUAA
This is an RNA transcript of Nicotiana tabacum (common tobacco), 1667 nucleotides long. RefSeq lists it as uncharacterized. The record is from RefSeq and is a predicted model, not a curated record. Lineage: Eukaryota; Viridiplantae; Streptophyta; Magnoliopsida; Solanales; Solanaceae.